Molecule: ribosomal RNA, 417 nt
Filed under: Triticum aestivum (bread wheat)
Lineage: Eukaryota; Viridiplantae; Streptophyta; Magnoliopsida; Poales; Poaceae
Description: partial small subunit ribosomal RNA
Source: RNAcentral
AUGGAUUUUAGAGCGAAACUAGCCGUCAUUUUAGUGGACUCGGAAUUGAAUGAUGAUAAUAUAAGAAAUCGAGACAUUGAAGAUGACGAAAACAACACAGAUCCCACAAAUUGUAUGAUUCUGGAAACACCCCCUGAGAACCUGAAACCAUCGAAUACAUCGUCAGAAGUUGAGCUCAUCUCGCAAUCAUUUAUCCUUUCGCCCUCUCUCACUCCAACAAAUGAUGACUUAAUAGAUGAACUUUGUUUGUUCAUCGACUCACAUCAUCGUGAAAAUAUGGACAUUGCUAUGUUGAAAUGGAUGUUUGAUAGCUGGCCAGGCAAUAAUGAGUAUCAUAUUUCACAUUGUGAUACGAUUUUAUUGCCAUGGGAUAUUUGUGGGAUAUUUCUAUUGUUUAUUUUUGAUCAAAAUAAAUAA